This 484-nucleotide ribosomal RNA is filed under the name uncultured bacterium. RNAcentral's name for it is "partial 16S ribosomal RNA". It matches the Rfam family "Bacterial small subunit ribosomal RNA", at positions 30 to 507 of the family's 1533-position model. The record is from RNAcentral.
AUUGAACGCUGGUGGCAGGCCUAACACAUGCAAGUCGAGCGGAUGAAGGGAGCUUGCUCCUGGAUUCAGCGGCGGACGGGUGAGUAAUGCCUAGGAAUCUGCCUGGUAGUGGGGGAUAACGUCCGGAAACGGGCGCUAAUACCGCAUACGUCCUGAGGGAGAAAGCGGGGGAUCUUCGGACCUCACGCUAUCAGAUGAGCCUAGGUCGGAUUAGCUAGUUGGUGGGGUAAAGGCCUACCAAGGCGACGAUCCGUAACUGGUCUGAGAGGAUGAUCAGUCACACUGGAACUGAGACACGGUCCAGACUCCUACGGGAGGCAGCAGUGGGGAAUAUUGGACAAUGGGCGAAAGCCUGAUCCAGCCAUGCCGCGUGUGUGAAGAAGGUCUUCGGAUUGUAAAGCACUUUAAGUUGGGAGGAAGGGCAGUAAGUUAAUACCUUGCUGUUUUGACGUUACCAACAGAAUAAGCACCGGCUAACUUCGUG